AUACGGAGGGUGCAAGCGUUAAUCGGAAUUACUGGGCGUAAAGCGCACGCAGGCGGUUUGUUAAGUCAGAUGUGAAAUCCCCGGGCUCAACCUGGGAACUGCAUCUGAUACUGGCAAGCUUGAGUCUCGUAGAGGGGGGUAGAAUUCCAGGUGUAGCGGUGAAAUGCGUAGAGAUCGGGAGGAAUACCGGUGGCGAAGGCGGCCCCCUGGACGAAGACUGACGCUCAGGUGCGAAAGCGUGGGGAGCAAACAGGAUUAGAUACCCUGGUAGUCCACGCCGUAAACGAUGUCGACUUGGAGGUUGUGCCCUUGAGGCGUGGCUUCCGGAGCUAACGCGUUAAGUCGACCGCCUGGGGAGUACGGCCGCAAGGUUAAAACUCAAAUGAAUUGACGGGG
This 396-nucleotide ribosomal RNA is filed under the name uncultured bacterium. RNAcentral describes it as "partial 16S ribosomal RNA". It matches the Rfam family "Bacterial small subunit ribosomal RNA", at positions 523 to 918 of the family's 1533-position model. The record is from RNAcentral.